RNAcentral lists this ribosomal RNA (494 nucleotides) under uncultured bacterium. RNAcentral's name for it is "partial 16S ribosomal RNA". It matches the Rfam family "Bacterial small subunit ribosomal RNA", at positions 28 to 507 of the family's 1533-position model. The record is from RNAcentral.
GACGAACGCUGGCGGCGCGCUUAACACAUGCAAGUCGAACGGAAAGGCCUGCUUUCCCUUGUGUAUUCCGGGUACUCGCGUGGGGAACGGGUGAGUAACACGUGCGUGAUCUGCCCCGAACUUGGCUAUAAGCCUGGGAAACUGGGUCUAAUUACCGACAGGACUGCAGGGUGGGGCCGGUGGUGGCAAACGAUUUUCUAGUGGUCGGGGAUGAGCUGGCGGCGUAUCAGGUUGUGGGUGGGGUAAUGGCCUACCAAGGCGGCGACGGGUAGCGGGCCUGGGAUGGGGGACGGGCGAAUUGGGACUGGGACAAGGCCCAGACGAGUACGGGAGGCAGCAGAGGGGAAGCAGGCGCAAUGAGCGGAAGCCAGAGGCAGCGAGGCUGAGUGGGGGACGACGGGCUUGGGGUGGUAAACUCCUGGCGACCGAGAGGAAGCCACUUGGAUGGAAGGGUGGUGACGGUAGUGGGAGAAGAAGCACCGGCUAACUACGUG